This 465-nucleotide ribosomal RNA is filed under the name uncultured bacterium. RNAcentral's name for it is "bacterial SSU rRNA". It matches the Rfam family "Bacterial small subunit ribosomal RNA", at positions 8 to 461 of the family's 1533-position model. The record is from RNAcentral.
AGAGUUUGAUCCUGGCUCAGAACGAACGCUGGCGGCGUGCCUAACACAUGCAAGUCGAGCGCGAAAGGAGCAAUCCGAGUAGAGCGGCGCACGGGUGCGUAACACGUGGAUAAUCUGCCCUUGAAUUCGGGAUAACCUUCCGAAAGGUUGGCUAAUACCGGGUAAGCUCACGGUGACUUCGGUCGCUGUGGGAAAAGUAGACCUCUGUUUACAAGUUUACGUUUGAGGAUGAGUCCGCGGCCCAUCAGCUAGUUGGCGGGGUAAUGGCCCACCAAGGCUACGACGGGUAGCUGGUCUGAGAGGACGAUCAGCCACACUGGAACUGAGACACGGUCCAGACUCCUACGGGAGGCAGCAGUGGGGAAUUUUCCACAAUGGGCGAAAGCCUGAUGGAGCAACGCCGCGUGUGCGAUGAAGGUCUUCGGAUCAUAAAGCACUUUCGACCGGGACGAAAAACCUUCUGGC